This 503-nucleotide ribosomal RNA is filed under the name uncultured bacterium. RNAcentral describes it as "partial 16S ribosomal RNA". It matches the Rfam family "Bacterial small subunit ribosomal RNA", at positions 30 to 523 of the family's 1533-position model. The record is from RNAcentral.
AUUGAACGCUGGCGGCAGGCUUAACACAUGCAAGUCGAGCGGGGUGAUGGUGCUUGCACUAUCACUUAGCGGCGGACGGGUGAGUAAUGCUUAGGAAUCUGCCUAUCAGUGGGGGACAACAUCUCGAAAGGGAUGCUAAUACCGCAUACGUCCUACGGGAGAAAGCAGGGGAUCACUUGUGACCUUGCGCUAAUAGAUGAGCCUAAGUCGGAUUAGCUAGUUGGUGGGGUAAAGGCCUACCAAGGCGACGAUCUGUAGCGGGUCUGAGAGGAUGAUCCGCCACACUGGGACUGAGACACGGCCCAGACUCCUACGGGAGGCAGCAGUGGGGAAUAUUGGACAAUGGGGGGAACCCUGAUCCAGCCAUGCCGCGUGUGUGAAGAAGGCCUUAUGGUUGUAAAGCACUUUAAGCGAGGAGGAGGCUCUUUUGGUUAAUACCCAAGAUGAGUGGACGUUACUCGCAGAAUAAGCACCGGCUAACUCUGUGCCAGCAGCCGCGGUAA